This 425-nucleotide ribosomal RNA is filed under the name uncultured bacterium. Its description in RNAcentral is "partial 16S ribosomal RNA". It matches the Rfam family "Bacterial small subunit ribosomal RNA", at positions 354 to 796 of the family's 1533-position model. The record is from RNAcentral.
GUGGGGAAUCUUGCGCAAUGGGCGAAAGCCUGACGCAGCCAUGCCGCGUGAAUGAUGAAGGUCUUAGGAUUGUAAAAUUCUUUCACCGGGGACGAUAAUGACGGUACCCGGAGAAGAAGCUCCGGCUAACUUCGUGCCAGCAGCCGCGGUAAUACGAAGGGGGCUAGCGUUGCUCGGAAUUACUGGGCGUAAAGGGCGCGUAGGCGGACAGCUUAGUCAGAGGUGAAAGCCCAGGGCUCAACCUUGGAAUUGCCUUUGAUACUGGCUGUCUUGAGUUUGGGAGAGGUGAGUGGAACUCCGAGUGUAGAGGUGAAAUUCGUAGAUAUUCGGAAGAACACCAGUGGCGAAGGCGGCUCACUGGCCCGAUACUGACGCUGAGGUGCGAAAGCGUGGGGAGCAAACAGGAUUAGAAACCCUGGUAGUCC